Molecule: long non-coding RNA, 465 nt
Organism: Exaiptasia diaphana
Lineage: Eukaryota; Metazoa; Cnidaria; Anthozoa; Actiniaria; Aiptasiidae
Exons: 3
Source: RefSeq, a predicted model, not a curated record
UCAUUAAGAACUUUCACGAAAGUGCACAAGGAAAGGUUUUCUCAAAACCAGGCAGCCUUUUAUCAAACCAAACAACCAAGAGCACUAAAGAAUGCUGCUUCAAGUGCGUACAAAACAAKGAAUGCUUGUCAGUGAACACCAUUGCUUUGRAUCAAUCGCGAUGUCAAUGUGAGCUUCUCAACUGGGCGGGAACCGGAUUUGAAAAUAAUCUAAUACCAAAACCAAACUCCAAAUUUCUGCAAAUGGAGACUGCGUGUUCACCCAACCCAUGUCAAAAUGGCGGCCAAUGCACCGUGAAAGAUGGAGGAACAAACUACACCUGUAAUUGUACUGGUCGAGGUCAUACUGGAAGAAAUUGUGAAAUCAACAUGUGCUCGCCGAACCCUUGUCAAAAUGGCGGACAAUGUACCGUGAAAGAUGGAGGAACUAACUACACCUGUACUUGUACUAAUCACACUGGAAGAA